This 253-nucleotide ribosomal RNA is filed under the name uncultured bacterium. RNAcentral's name for it is "partial 16S ribosomal RNA". It matches the Rfam family "Bacterial small subunit ribosomal RNA", at positions 524 to 776 of the family's 1533-position model. The record is from RNAcentral.
UACAGAGGGUGCAAGCGUUAAUCGGAAUUACUGGGCGUAAAGCGUGCGUAGACGGUUGCGUAAGUCAGAUGUGCAAGCCCCGGGCUCAACCUGGGAAUUGCAUUUGAGACUGCGUAGCUAGGGUGCGGAAGAGGGAAGCGGAAUUUCCGGUGUAGCGGUGAAAUGCGUAGAGACCCGGAGGAACACCAGUGGCGAAGGCGGCUUCCUGGUCUGCAACUGACGCUGUGGCGCGAAAGCUAGGGGAGCAAACGGG